Prosopis cineraria is the source of this 3433-nucleotide long non-coding RNA. RefSeq lists it as uncharacterized. NCBI's taxonomy places the organism in Eukaryota, Viridiplantae, Streptophyta, Magnoliopsida, Fabales, Fabaceae. The record is from RefSeq and is a predicted model, not a curated record. The transcript is spliced from 3 exons.
UUUGUGGUUCCGCAUUAACUUGACAUCUUUGUUUUUGAGUUGUGAAUUCUUUUUGCUGCCACGUCUGGUUUUAUACUUUGCAGAGAGGAGGUACAUUGGAGAACUCGUGAGCCUUUGAGAUAAGCAAGCACAAGAAAUGAAGUUGAUGGCUAAUGCGAUAAGAAGAUUGGAAGAAACUCUGAUGUUACCGACAAGUUCUCUUAGAUGGGAUUUCCCCCUAUGAAAACACCUUAUGAAGUUGCAGAAGUGUGUGAUGUGGAUGUAGUAAUUACAAUGUUGCCUUCUUCGACCCAUGUGAGUACAAUCAUACCAAUGGCAUUUCGUUUUCUGCAAAAACAGUGGGCCAUUUGCUUAUGUGUUGACUCCAUGAAGACUCUUCAGUUUGUUCAGCAUUUCUGAAAAACUUUUUGACCUUUUGAGCAAUACUUCGAUAUUUUAAAUGUCAUUUAGCUUUAUAUUCAAUGUGGCAUCUAUUUGGUUGUGCAAGCCACAAACUGCAAAACUUUAUCAAUGUGAAUGCUGAUCUGCUUCUAAGCUGUGUACAUAAGAUUCUCAGUUAGAAUAUAACAAAUUUGGAGAAUUGUCUUAUUGCUGUUGAUCUUCUUACCUUUGACUGUGUACUAACUCCAGAAUAACACACUAAUCUAAAUUAAGUAGGUGAUUGAUGUUUACACUGGAUCAAAUGGUUUGCUUCAAGCUGGGAGGGUCCUACGGCCAUGGUUAUUGAUUGAUUCAUCCACAAUCAUCAAGAAGCCUUUCUGUUGCAAUAUAUAAUUGUCUUUUAAAAUAAAAGAAAGGUACCAUUAAAUGAAAUAUUGUUGACCUUAAAGCUGUUUUCAUGUUUUUCCUGCUCCAUAUAUUUUAUUUACCAUGUCAAUAAUUAAUUUUUUUCUCAUGAGAAAUGGUUUGCCGAUUUUGUGGGAGUAUUUGUGGCUAUAUCUAUACUUCGAUUGUAUAAUUCAUACCCGGGGGGCAGGGGCAGGGGCAGGAGUAUACGACCAUGAGAGGAGUUUUAUAGUGCUCUUCAAAGUUCUACUUCAUACCCUGUCUCAUCAGGAUGUCCAUUAUUUGUUGCUCCCUACCCAACCCUACUGUCAUCUUUAGUAUUAGGUCACUAGAACUUGCUUCUUUGAUUAUGGUGCAUAUUUAAACUCUCUACUAUUUUUAUGUAAAGCUCUUCUGGUUGCAUCUUCUGGAGUUGAUUUAUUAAGCUGACAAAGUUUAUUUGCCUCACUGGAGCACUCUGACAACUGGCGAAUUGUUAGAUUUCAUAAAUGAUAUGAUGCAGAUAUUUAGUGUAAUUUCUACUUGUUACACUCCUUUUUCCUCAUAAAAAUGGGUCCAAAUUUCUACUCUGCAUCAAGUCACCUAAGUGAUCCGGGAUAUUGUGUGACAGCGUGUUACUUGAACAAAGUAGUUUUCGUUUUAGCUGAUAGUUCUUCAAUUUAUAUGGUCAAUUGGUCAUGACGCGUGAAAAAAUGAAAUUAAUUUCUAUCUGGCAUGGCAUGCAAUAGCCUAGUCAUUGAAUGAAAAUGCCUCUUGCCACUGGAUCAGGAUAAGGUGUAAUUGAUAUCAAUGAUAUAUCAUUACUUUUUUUUUUUGGGGUACUUUUAAGCAAUAUUUUCUAACAUACUAUUUGAAAGUAAGUCUUGUUUCAAAAAGGGCCAGUAGGCUCUUUGAUGAUGUGAAUUUUUCUUUCUGGAUAGAAGGGGUUUCCUAACAUCCUCCUGUUGUAUAUGAACUGCUUUCUAAGUUUUAGCAUGCUGAGUUGGUCUCCUUUCUUUUGUUUGGGGUGGGGGGGUUUAAAUGAUUAUGCACCGGUGAUGGGAAGACUCCCAUCAAGUUGGACGCUCCUGUAUCUGGAAGUGUGAUUGCUGCAGAAGCUGGAAGCCUGGAACACUAACUUUUAUGGUAGGUGGCUCUGAGGAAGCUUUUUUGGCUGCGAAAACCUUAUCCCUUUCAAUGGGUAAAAGUGCAAUAUAUUGUGGAGGAGCAGAAGGUGAUUCUGUAAGUUAGAUCUUUGAAAUUGAACUUCAAACUUUUCGAUGCUGUUGGCCAAAUAAAAUAAAAUCAAUGCUGUAAAUGCUGCUUGUAUGGUCUUCUUUAUGAAUCUUAUCAAAAAAGUUCAGUUUGAGAAAUUAUAUUAAUUAUGAUAUUUUGGAACAGAUAAAUUCAUUCAUUGUUACAUUAAUUUUUUAUUUUUAUUUUUUGUUCGUUUGCUGAUUGUGAAUUGUGAAAAUCUAUUCAUAUUGAAAAUUUUUAUUUGGAACAAUUUUGUUUGUGUUAGUAUUAGAUGUAUGUUAUCCACUUGCAGUUGAUACAGCAGGGGCGUCAUUUUAGUGUUGGCUUGGUCUUGUUAUCAGGCAUCUAAGACAUGUAAUAAUUUGAUUGUAGAAAAGUAUAUUAAAUUUAUAAGGCUAAGUAGCUAAGUCUCUCUCUCUCUCUCUCUAUAUAUAUAUAUAUGUAUAAAUAUUGGCUGUAGAGUGCAGAUCGAUCUCGAGGGUGUUGAACACGCCCCCUAAAUUGUGUUAAUGAGAUGCAGGCUAAAGACUUAAACCUUGCAGUAGAAACAGCCAAACAAGCUAGCUGUAAACAUCCAUUGGCAUCUCAAGCACAAGAAAUGUAAGCCCCUCUUCUUCCAUAAUCUUGAUUUAAAACUUUUCAAAUUGAGUUAUUUACAUUUCUACAUUCAGAAAGAGAUCUCGAUACAAAAUAAUGCCACUGUCUAUGAAAUCCACGUUAAAUUUUAACACUAAUCCUUUUGCCCCAAUAUCUCUUUCUAAAUAUACUGUAGUCAUUCGCUUAUUAUGACGUUCAAAGAUGAAGAUAAGAACGUUUUGACAGUAUUGGAUUAAAUAUUUGAUGUUUGUUUGCUGAUCAACAAGCUGUUUUGCUCCCGAUAUAGAGAACUCUGCGUGGAUGGGCAUGAGGCUGAAGCCUUUUCAUGUGUUUUCUCCCAUUAAGUGUUGCUAUAUAUAUGUCCAAUACAACAUUACAUCCAAAAAAGAAAUAAUGUUUUUAUAUUUUUUUUAUAAUAAAAUGAUGUUUACAAGAAAAAGAAAGCACUAAUGUUUUUAUGAAAAAUUUGAAAAUAAGCUAUUUCACAUUGUAGCAGGUAGUAUUUGUUUUCGUUAAUUCACUAGGCAAUUAAAUUACUCUUUUUGUAAUUCAUAAUUUCAAGUAUUGAGAGAUCCUGGUAACUUUUCAACAAUAAUUUGUAGAGAUCAAUGUAAUUAGCGCUUAAAAGAGUGGAACCUGUCGAGAAUCUAUAAAGUAUUAAUAAGUCACUGCCAAAAUAUUGAUGUCUCUUCAAUGUAUCAUAGAAUCAAAAUUAUUAUUACUAUUAUUAUUAUUAUUAUUAUUAUUAUUAUUAUAUAAAAGUAGGAGGAAAGUUACGUAAGAAUGUUACAUGUCUCUUCUUGUACACGCUUCA